RNAcentral lists this ribosomal RNA (486 nucleotides) under uncultured bacterium. Its description in RNAcentral is "partial 16S ribosomal RNA". It matches the Rfam family "Bacterial small subunit ribosomal RNA", at positions 30 to 507 of the family's 1533-position model. The record is from RNAcentral.
AUUGAACGCUGGCGGCAUGCCUUACACAUGCAAGUCGAACGGCAGCACGGGUGCUUGCCCCUGGUGGCGAGUGGCGAACGGGUGAGUAAUACAUCGGAACAUGUCCUGUAGUGGGGGAUAGCCCGGCGAAAGCCGGAUUAAUACCGCAUACGAUCUACGGAUGAAAGCGGGGGACCUUCGGGCCUCGCGCUAUAGGGUUGGCCGAUGGCUGAUUAGCUAGUUGGUGGGGUAAAGGCCUACCAAGGCGACGAUCAGUAGCUGGUCUGGGAGGACGACCAGCCACACUGGGACUGGGACACGGCCCAGACUCCUACGGGAGGCAGCAGUGGGGAAUUUUGGACAAUGGGCGAAAGCCUGAUCCAGCAAUGCCGCGUGUGUGAAGAAGGCCUUCGGGUUGUAAAGCACUUUUGUCCGGAAAGAAAUCCUUGGCCCUAAUACGGUCGGGGGAUGACGGUACCGGAAGAAUAAGCACCGGCUAACUACGUG